AAGUCGUAACAAGGUUUCCGUAGGUGAACCUGCGGAAGGAUCAUUAAAAGAUAUGGCAUAUUCCAUGUGGAUAUACCCAAUCAACCCAUUCUGAGUACCUUACCUGUUGCUUCCACACAGUGUCUGUGCAUUAGUACUGACAUCCUGAUGAUAGGUGAAAGCCUAUCGGAGGGAGAUGUGUGGAGGGUAUACUUAUAAACUCUUGCAUUACCAUGUAUUCUGUCUGAUAAUGUUUAAUAUAAACUAUUAAAACUUUCAACAACGGAUCUCUUGGUUCUC
This 279-nucleotide unclassified non-coding RNA is filed under the name Pseudaleuria sp. RNAcentral's name for it is "partial internal transcribed spacer region". The stretch from base 1 to 46 matches the Rfam family "Eukaryotic small subunit ribosomal RNA", at positions 1786 to 1831 of the family's 1831-position model. Lineage: Eukaryota; Fungi; Ascomycota; Pezizomycetes; Pezizales; Pyronemataceae. The record is from RNAcentral.